This is a long non-coding RNA of Rosa rugosa (rugosa rose), 955 nucleotides long. RefSeq lists it as uncharacterized. The record is from RefSeq and is a predicted model, not a curated record. Lineage: Eukaryota; Viridiplantae; Streptophyta; Magnoliopsida; Rosales; Rosaceae. The transcript is spliced from 2 exons.
AAUUUGGCCGAAAAUAAGGAAAUAAAUCAGAUUUAAUUCAUAGAUAUUUCGGCAAAUAUAUAUUAAGGGAUUAUAAACUUAUUUUGGAGAGUUUUGAUUGGAUGGAUGACACACCAAAGGUGACAUGGCACCCUACGAUUGGUCGAAGCUAUGUGGAAUUUUCUGAAUGCUUGGAGAGCCUUGGCCGUCCCCUAUUUAUACCCUCCUAUUCUUGACUUUUUGGGUUCGACACUUUACAAUUCAGAAAAUUACUCUCUCAUAAACGUCUAGCCUCUCCUUCUCUCUCCAUUCUCUAGUUCGGUUUCUGCACUUUCAAGCAAGGGAGGAAGAAGGAAGAAGAAGCCGUGAGCAUUUCCCCCAUAAUCCACCUUGAAGCCGUGAGUUUUGAAGAUUGCUUCCAAGAUUCAGAGUUCAUCAAUUCAAGUUCUUCAUCACCAUCUCCAUUCACGGUGGUUAAAUUAUAUGCUCACUUAAAGCGUAUCAGGGUCUUCGUUAGAAAGCGUGAUGAGAAAAAGAGAUGGCAAUCUCGCCUUAUGGCGCAAGGCUUCUCGCAAAACGCCCUGGAAUCGACUACGCACUACACCAAUUUUUCAAUCAGACGACAGUUUUUCACUGUCGUCUGAUUAUAGAGUUUGCUGUUGUCUAUUUCAAUGCCGUCUGAUACAUAAUCAGACAAUACCAAAAAACUGUCGUCUGAUAAAGUUUACUACAACAGCGACUACUAUAUUGUCUGUUGUCUGAAUACCACGAAGAACAACAGCAAUAAUACCAAAAACUGUCGUCUGAUAAAGUUUACUACAACAGCGACUACUAUAUUGUCUGUUGUCUGAAUACCACGAAGAACAACAUCAGCUUAUAUACUUACUGUUGUCUGAAGGCUGUGCCAGACAACAGGGGCUUAUAUUCUUGCUGUUGUCUGAAGGCAUGAUCAGACAAUAUGUACUUGCAAAUCCCA